Molecule: long non-coding RNA, 2275 nt
Organism: Sapajus apella (tufted capuchin)
Lineage: Eukaryota; Metazoa; Chordata; Mammalia; Primates; Cebidae
Exons: 2
Source: RefSeq, a predicted model, not a curated record
ACCCGGGCUGCCUGACUCGUCGGUGGCAGCCUGCGGCCUCGCGCGGCACCGCAGGGACCCGGAGGAGUGUGGGGCGGCACCGAGGUUGCGGCCCUAGUGCUCCGAGCGCCGCACUCUGGACUCCUCAGGGCCGCGGGGUUGCGGGGUGGCUGUUGCUGGGAUCUGGGGGUGCAGCCCGAAGGCCCCACUCCUCUCCUACGGCCACUUUUUCCUCCCACAACCGGCGGGCGGGUGCAGCGGGGACCAGGCGGCGGCUCUCGCAUCCCGCGCGAGAAGCCUUGCUUCAGCAUCUGCAGGGGCUGUACCAGGAUCCUUGCUCUCAGGCCCCUCUGUUCCCUUCCCUGGGACAGGAGAGGAGUGGCUGGACUCGGCAGGCCUGCACCCCUACGGCCACUGUGCGGAGGGCAGCCAGGAUUAGCCGGACGGCCACCUAACCAUCCUGGAGGAUGAGCCCUCUGUCCUGGAGGCCCACGACCAGAAAGAAGAUGGCUACUACCAACCCAGCAAAGAGGGCUACCAGGACUGCUACCCCACAGAGGCCAACAGGAGCACCAGCACCUCCCACUACCACCUCAGGCAUGGAGACGCGGACUUGGAGGACCAGGAGGAGGACAUCUACCCAGUCGUGGCCGAGAUCAAGAGGAGCCUGAGCAUGACCAGCAUCACCAGUGCCAGUGAGGCCAGCAGAACUAUAAAAUGUUGCACAGGAGUGACAAACUCUAAAUUCAGAGGAAUGGGUACCUCUAGGAACGGGUAGAAGAAUAAUCCUGUGGGGGGAGGUUCUGGGGGCUUUAUUUUAUAUAUAAGAUUUAGUUCAUGAAACAAGAAAAAGUCUGAAGCAAGUACCACUACAUAUGAGUGUGUUCUGAUAACCCCAGAGAGUGGUACCCAGGUGUUUGGCAUAUGGGCUCCUACAGAUUUAUGUAUGUUUGAAAUACUUAUUUACUUAGAAAUACCUACUUUGAAAUAUUUAUUCUUGAGAUAGAGUCUUAAUAUCACAACAAAUGUACAUAUUAUACACAUGUACAUACUGUACACAUGUACGUAUGUAUUGUGUACACAUGUACAUAUACAUUUGUGAUAUUACAGUAUAUACAUGUGUUCUAUGUGUACACGUGUACAUAUAUGUGCACAUGUACAAGUACAUAUGUGAUAGCUAUGAUACGAAUAUCACAGUGUGCACAUAUGGUAUACAUGCAUUGUGUGCACUCACUGUGAUAUUAGGAGAAAUAUCUUUCUAGGAUAUUAUGAAUAAUAUUACAGGAUGUAAACUCAGUUUGAUAUGAGGAGUAAUAUCUCUCUAGGAUGUUACAGGUAUCAACGGAUGUACACACAUGGUGUACUCACUCCCACAGUGAUAUUAGGAGUGUCAUCUCUUCCUAGGAUAUUACCACUAAUGUCACAGAGUGUACACACAUGGUGUACUGCCACUUUGAUAUUACAAGUAGUAUUUCUCCUUAAGAUAUUACAAAUAAUAUCACAGGGUGUACCCAAAUAACUGUACACAUACUUUGAUAUUACGAGUAAUGUCACAUGCUGAAUAUUACGAAUAAUAUCACAAAGUGUUCAAACAUACUUUACACUGGCUAUGAUAUUAGGAGUAAUAUCUCUUUAAAAUAUACACCCAUAUCAACCAGACUAUGAUAUCUUUUUAAAAUGUAUACCCAUAUCAACCCCCCACAAUAUGGCGAGUAAUAUCACCCUGGCCGUCCCUGGAUAUUAUGAACCAUAUCACGGGAAUGCCCACACCUGUGAUUCCUAGUAUCUCUCCCAAGGAUAUUACGAAUAGUAUCACAGGGUGUACCUAAAUAUUGAACACGCACUUUGAUAUUACAAGUAAUGUCAUAUGCUGAAUAUUACAAACAAUAUCACAAUGUGAACAUACUCCACACAGACUGAUAUUAGGAGUAAUAACUCUUUAAAAUACACACCCAAAUCAACCCGUUAAUAGCUCUUUAAAAUAUACACCCAUAUCAACCCCCUGAAUGUAAUAUUGGGAGUAAUAUCUGUUUAAAAUAUGCACCCAAAUCAACCCGACUGUGAUAUUCAAAGUACUGUCUUUAAAAUGUACCCCCAUAUUAACUCCCCACAAUAUGGCGAGUAAUAGCAUGGCUGCCCCUGGUUAUUAUGAACGAUAUAAUAGGGAGGUGCCCACACCUGUGAUUCGUACUAUCUCUCCCUAAGAUAUUAUGAAUAAUAUCACAGGGUGUACACAAAUACUUCACACAUACUUUGAUAUUACGAGUAAUGACAUGCUUAAUAUUACAAACAAGAU